UGUCCAGCAAUUCCUAUCCCUACCUCCUCGCGGUACUGGCCGGGGUACGAGUUACCUUAGAGCAGAUCGGGUAACCAACCCCCGGUGGGAACUUUGGUCGUAUGCUGACAGGAAAGG
Aedes aegypti (yellow fever mosquito) is the source of this 117-nucleotide non-coding RNA. Lineage: Eukaryota; Metazoa; Arthropoda; Insecta; Diptera; Culicidae. The record is from Rfam.